RNAcentral lists this unclassified non-coding RNA (431 nucleotides) under soil metagenome. RNAcentral describes it as "partial contains 5.8S ribosomal RNA, internal transcribed spacer 2, and large subunit ribosomal RNA". The stretch from base 1 to 120 matches the Rfam family "5.8S ribosomal RNA", at positions 35 to 154 of the family's 154-position model. The record is from RNAcentral.
GAUGAAGAACGUAGCGAAAUGCGAUACGUAAUGUGAAUUGCAGAAUUCAGUGAAUCAUCGAAUCUUUGAACGCAUAUUGCGCUCUCUGGUAUUCCGGAGAGCAUGCUUGUUUGAGUAUCAGUAAACACCUCAACUUCCAUAUCUUUUUUGAAAUGGGAGUUGGACUUGAGUGAUCCCAACGCUUUUCCUCACCGAAAAGUGGCGGGUUACUUGAAAUGCAGGUGCAGCUGGACUUUUCUCUGAGCUAUAAGCAUAUCUAUUUAGUCUGCCUAAAAACAGAUUAUUACCUUUGCUGCAGCUAACAUAAAGGAGAUUAGUUCUUGUGCUGACUGAUGCAGGAUUCACAGAGACAGCUUCGGCUGACUUUGUAAACUCGAUCUCAAAUCAAGUAAGACUACCCGCUGAACUUAAGCAUAUCAAUAAGCGGAGGA